This 290-nucleotide RNase P RNA is filed under the name Clostridiales bacterium. RNAcentral describes it as "partial RNase P RNA component class A". It matches the Rfam family "Bacterial RNase P class A", at positions 54 to 367 of the family's 367-position model. From Rfam's summary of the family: Ribonuclease P (RNase P) is a ubiquitous endoribonuclease, found in archaea, bacteria and eukarya as well as chloroplasts and mitochondria. Its best characterised activity is the generation of mature 5'-ends of tRNAs by cleaving the 5'-leader elements of precursor-tRNAs. The record is from RNAcentral. Lineage: Bacteria; Bacillati; Bacillota; Clostridia; Eubacteriales.
GAACACCGCAGGACAGAACGCCGGCUAACUACCGGUGAAGGCGACUUCAAGGAAAGUGCAACAGAAAAUUACCGCCAUGUGGGGGUGUUCCCCUUAGGGUAAGGUUGAAAAGGCGAGGUAAGAGCUCACCGUCAGAACGGUAACGUUUUGAGCCGUGUAAACCCCGUUCGGUGCAAGACAAAGGGUCAAGGUUGUCCGCCGUCCUUUACAAUCGCUCGACCGACUUGGCAACAUUUCGGCAAGAUAGAUAACCGUCAUAACAGAAUUCGGCUUACGGGUCAUACUCACGU